RNAcentral lists this ribosomal RNA (497 nucleotides) under uncultured bacterium. RNAcentral's name for it is "partial 16S ribosomal RNA". It matches the Rfam family "Bacterial small subunit ribosomal RNA", at positions 28 to 507 of the family's 1533-position model. The record is from RNAcentral.
GAUGAACGCUGGCGGCGUGCCUAAUACAUGCAAGUCGAGCGAACGGACGAGAAGCUUGCUUUUCUGAUGUUAGCGGCGGACGGGUGAGUAACACGUGGAUAACCUACCUAUAAGACUGGGAUAACUUCGGGAAACCGGAGCUAAUACCGGAUAAUAUUUUGAACCGCAUGGUUCAAAAGUGAAAGACGGUCUUGCUGUCACUUAUAGAUGGAUCCGCGCUGCAUUAGCUAGUUGGUAAGGUAACGGCUUACCAAGGCAACGAUGCAUAGCCGACCUGAGAGGGUGAUCGGCCACACUGGAACUGAGACACGGUCCAGACUCCUACGGGAGGCAGCAGUAGGGAAUCUUCCGCUAUGGGCGAAAGCCUGACGGAGCAACGCCGCGUGAGUGAUGAAGGUCUUCGGAUCGUAAAACUCUGUUAUUAGGGAAGAACAUAUGUGUAAGUAACUGUGCACAUCUUGACGGUACCUAAUCAGAAAGCCACGGCUAACUACGUG